UCAUUGUUAUUGUUAAUUGAUAAAUAAUUAUUACAUAUACACAGACACAGUGUAACUUCGUAUAUGAUAUGCGAGAAUAUUAAUUAAACCACGUAGAUAUUUAAUUUUGUCUGGUAGAAUUUUUGUGAUGCAAAGCUAACCUUUUGUUAAAUAAAUAAGAGCCUAAAUAUUUGGUUGGACCAUGUAGUGCAAGCUGUUGCAUCUGAGAGAGUGAUUACGGUUUUACAGCUCGUGAUGAGAUGUAAAGGAGAGUCUGUUUUGUCAGCUUCUGUCUAAAGUGUUAUCCUGCAUAUAUGUAAAAUGAUAUAUCCUCUUAUUAAUCAGAAGAAAAUAACACAUGUUACAAGAUGAUACUUUAUUUAUUAAUGAUUAGUUUAUAAAUAACAUAUAUUUUUUUUUAUGGGUAUGAAAAUUUAAUAGGAUAAUAUAAUACUACUGGUCUACCAUCACUCUCCUACCUUGUGAAGUGUUUUGCCUUGUUCUACAGGGUAGUUGGUCUCUUUCACAAUUAACUCUAACUUUGUCCUUUUUAUUUUACUUGAUGGGCUUUCCUAUGCUCUCUUUCUUCACGGAAAACCAAACAACAUUAUUAGUUUCUUCUUCUUAUUUAUUCCUCCUUCUAUAUAUCCAUUUACAAAACUACUUUCUUUUUCUCUUUAUCCAUCAUUUCUCUCCCUCACACAAUAGCAAGGAUAAGCAUUUGUCGAGAGCAAACAAACAAAAACAAGAACUAACAGAACAUAUUAUAUAAGAAACAAAAAAAUGAAUGAUGCUGCUGCAAUUGUUGCGGCAUAUUACUCUGAGUUCGUGGAAGUUGACUCUAAAGGAAGAUAUGGAAGAUACAACGAAAUUCUUGGCAAAGGAGCUUCCAAGACAAUAUAGAGCAUUUGAUGAGUAUGAAGGGAUAGAAGUAGCAUGGAAUCAAGUAAAGCUUUAUGAUCUUAUGCAGAAUCCUGAAGAACUAAAGAGGUUAUACUGUGAAAUUCAUCUUCUCAAGAC
Non-coding RNA from Lupinus albus (white lupine), 999 nucleotides. The record is from the annotation of a GenBank genome assembly. Lineage: Eukaryota; Viridiplantae; Streptophyta; Magnoliopsida; Fabales; Fabaceae.